CCAGGCCUAAAUUUAUCUUUUUCCUCCUAAAUUUUAACUAUUUUUCUCUCUCUAAACUAAGCUAUUUCUCCCCCUCUUUUUCUAAAAUCUCAACCCUCUCAUUCUCUCUAACCUUGACUCUAUUUCUCUUCCUAUUUCUUUAAUUAUGCUUUCUCUUUCUAACCUAUGUUCUCUCUCUUUUUUUUCUAAAACGAUAUUAAAAUUUUUUAUAGUAUUAUUUAAGAUUAAUUUAAAAAAUAAAUUAAUUAAUUGUAUAUUUUUCGUAAUCUUAAAUAACAUGACUAAAUGAUAUGAACCAAAUACCGAAAUACUACAUUCUUAGUAAUAGGAUAAAUAGGAAUAAAAGUCUCGAAUAUUUUGUUACGCAUAAUAAUCUUUCAUAGUGCGAACGAAACGCGCCCUAAACGCGGCCUAAAGGUAAUAAAAUUGGUUGCAUGGGGGUUAUU
This 446-nucleotide long non-coding RNA is filed under the name Ananas comosus (pineapple). RNAcentral describes it as "long non-coding RNA (ACOM_LNC021911)". The record is from RNAcentral. Lineage: Eukaryota; Viridiplantae; Streptophyta; Magnoliopsida; Poales; Bromeliaceae.